Molecule: long non-coding RNA, 2092 nt
Organism: Mytilus trossulus (common blue mussel)
Lineage: Eukaryota; Metazoa; Mollusca; Bivalvia; Mytilida; Mytilidae
Exons: 3
Source: RefSeq, a predicted model, not a curated record
GUGACAGAAUAUUUCCGAACAAAUUAGAAAGAUAGAUCUAUUGAUUUUGUAGGAACUGAACUAACAUUAGGAAGAUACGCGGAUUUCAAUAUUACCUGUAAUUAGCGAUCAUAAGUCAUACAAAAAUAGACAGAUUUUGUAUCCUUUGCCAAUUAGAGGUUAAAACGUGAUGUUAUGGACAUUCUCAUUUUUACAACAAUACUUGCACUUUUAAGGACCACUUUUGACCUGCAACAAUAAGCUGCUAUUGUAAAUGGAAUUUACAAAUUUAGUGAUGAUGUUGUCAUAGGAACGGUUUUAUUCCAAAGCAAAUAGUUAUAUAGAAGAAACAACAACAUAUUCACUUGGACUUGACAUAACAAAUUUUAUCUCUGAUAUGUAAUAGAGUUAAACGUGACACGUACAAGAAAUUCAAUAAUGUUUUAUGAACAUUUUGUCAGGAAAAUAACAAGAUACGCAUGCUGUCAUUAAGAAUACGAUGGGUUGUUCUUCGUCACAGUUCAAUAACAGAAAAAUCUACAAAAAACAGAGAGAAGAGGACUUUUCUACCUCUGGAGAGGAUAUAAGAGGAGUUCCAGAUGGUCAGGAAACAUUUCAAGGAAUGGAAGGACAGAAGCCAAAACCAAAAACCAAAAAACCAAAAGAGGUUGUGAGAUCCAUGUCCAGUGAUAUACCGUCCGGUACUGACAUUACCAUGUUGAGAGCAGGAAGUGACGACGAAUCAAAGGACAUUAUAUAAACAAUGACGUCAGAUGAAAUUGAAGAUGAAAAACAAUCAUUGACCUGUUGGAAUUCACCUUUUAUUUGUUUUCCCCAAAAGGCAUUUUUCAUUUGAUUUUGAUAGAAUGUGUAUGCUAGUAUAUUGAGAGUGUGGGAAUAUGAACGAAUUUCGGUGUUGUGACUUUACAAAUGUUGUGAUUUCACAAGUGUACUUCAGAGUUUCUAAGAGUAAAAAUUGGAAACAAAAAACAUUUUCAAAGUCAGGAAUUCGUUGAAAGGUAUGAUCCUAACAUUGCAUGAUGUACCAUUAUCUCACAGAAUUCGUUAAAUCUACCUGAACAAUUGUGACUGUAAUCUUAUAAAUACACGUACUACAUUAUUUUUACUGUCAUUUCUAUACUUUAUACAUGUAUAUGUAACUCACACUUGCUAUACAAACUUGUAUAUUGUUAAUAUGUAUUUGUUUUCUGUAAUAGUUUUUUUAAGCGAUUACAUUCAUAUUUUACAUACUUAAAUAAUUACGAAUUCGUUAGUGGAAAGAAAACAAUGGUUUUCUCGUGUUAAAAAAAAAUAUUCCAAUUAUUAAAAAAAAUUUGAUGAUUGACUAUAUUUUGAAAUGAAUAUUGAAGUUCAACGUCCAAUGGCAAAUUAUAUAUGCAAAUCAAGAUGAGAGAAUGUUAAUUUGAUAUGAAUAUGCUGUGCACUUCUUCAAAAUUCUUUAUCUUAUUCAUAAAAGCAAUGAGAUUAAGUGAUCAAUGGUGUUCACUUUACAUGUCAAAUGUUUUAAAGAGACAUUAAAUAAUGUAAAAUGGUAUUUUCUCAUUGCAUUCUUUCAUUUUACAUGUCAAAUGUUUUAAAAGAGACAUUUAAUAAUGUAAAAUGGCAUUUUCUCAUUGCAUUCUUUCACUUUACAUGUCAAAUCUUUAAAAGAGACAUUAACUAAUGUAAAAUGGCAUUUUCUUAUUGCAUUCUGAGUACAUAUGUCUCUAUUUACAUUGUAGGAAAUAUCAAAUUCGUGAGUACGAAUGCAAAGACGUCUUCUAUGUUGCUGUAAUGUACGAGUUGUUUCUUUCUCGCGCAAUUCAGCCUCGACAACUUACCAUUUUGUGCUUGUUUUUUUUCAAAUUUCAAACGGUUGUCUGAUUCUAUAGAAGAAUAUGGACCGUGAAUUCGAGUUAUCAUUAUGAAUCACUUUUACAAUUUUUAAAAUGUUAGGAAAUUAUUAUUGAUAACUAAGACACAAAAGACCAAGUUUAAAGCUUCAAGUUUUAUAUUUUAUCAUGUGUUCACUGUUUAUGGUUAUUUAUCGACUCUUACUUCAUAAAAGUUAUUUUUACUGUGCGUUUCUAUGGCCAUGCAUUACGUAGACUGU